Molecule: ribosomal RNA, 117 nt
Filed under: Bifidobacterium vansinderenii
Lineage: Bacteria; Bacillati; Actinomycetota; Actinomycetes; Bifidobacteriales; Bifidobacteriaceae
Source: RNAcentral
CGGCGGUCAUGGCCCAGGGGAGACGCCCGGACCCAUUCCGAACCCGGAAGCUAAGACCUGGCACGGCGAUGGUACUGCACUCGACAGGGUGUGGGAGAGUAGCACACCACCGCAAUC